UAACAUCCGGAAACGGGUGCUAAUACCGCAUAGUUUUCUUGAUCGCAUGAUCGGGAAAGGAAAGACGGCCUUUGUGCUGUCGCUUAUGGAUGGACCCGCGGCGUAUUAGUUAGUUGGUGAGGUAACGGCUCACCAAGACGAUGAUACGUAGCCGACCUGAGAGGGUGAUCGGCCACAUUGGGACUGAGACACGGCCCAAACUCCUACGGGAGGCAGCAGUAGGGAAUCUUCCGCAAUGGACGAAAGUCUGACGGAGCAACGCCGCGUGAGUGAAGAAAAGGUUUUUCGGAUCGUAAAACUCUGUUGUCAGAGAAGAACAAGUUGGAGAGUAACUGCUCCAGCCUUGACGGUAUCUGACCAGAAAGCCACGGCUAACUACGUGCCAGCCGCCGC
RNAcentral lists this ribosomal RNA (393 nucleotides) under uncultured bacterium. Its description in RNAcentral is "bacterial SSU rRNA". It matches the Rfam family "Bacterial small subunit ribosomal RNA", at positions 144 to 518 of the family's 1533-position model. The record is from RNAcentral.